Molecule: ribosomal RNA, 484 nt
Filed under: uncultured bacterium
Lineage: Bacteria
Description: partial 16S ribosomal RNA
Rfam family: Bacterial small subunit ribosomal RNA
Source: RNAcentral
AUUGAACGCUGGCGGCAGGCCUAACACAUGCAAGUCGAGCGGAUGAAGGGAGCUUGCUCCUGGAUUCAGCGGCGGACGGGUGAGUAAUGCCUAGGAAUCUGCCUGGUAGUGGGGGAUAACGUCCGGAAACGGGCGCUAAUACCGCAUACGUCCUGAGGGAGAAAGUGGGGGAUCUUCGGACCUCACGCUAUCAGAUGAGCCUAGGUCGGAUUAGCUAGUUGGUGGGGUGAAGGCCUACCAAGGCGACGAUCCGUAACUGGUCUGAGAGGGUGAUCAGUCACACUGGAACUGAGACACGGUCCAGACUCCUACGGGAGGCAGCAGUGGGGAAUAUUGGACAAUGGGCGAAAGCCUGAUCCAGCCAUGCCGCGUGUGUGAAGAAGGUCUUCGGAUUGUAAAGCACUUUAAGUUGGGAGGAAGGGCAGUAAGUUAAUACCUUGCUGUUUUGACGUUACCAACAGAAUAAGCACCGGCUAACUUCGUG